RNAcentral lists this transfer RNA (69 nucleotides) under Rodolia quadrimaculata. Its description in RNAcentral is "tRNA-Met". It matches the Rfam family "tRNA". From Rfam's summary of the family: Transfer RNA (tRNA) molecules are approximately 80 nucleotides in length. Their secondary structure includes four short double-helical elements and three loops (D, anti-codon, and T loops). Lineage: Eukaryota; Metazoa; Arthropoda; Insecta; Coleoptera; Coccinellidae. The record is from RNAcentral.
AUAAAAGUAAGCUAAAUUAAGCUACUGGGUUCAUACCUCAUUUAUAAAGGUUCAUUCCUUUCUUUUAUA